This 433-nucleotide ribosomal RNA is filed under the name uncultured bacterium. RNAcentral describes it as "partial 16S ribosomal RNA". It matches the Rfam family "Bacterial small subunit ribosomal RNA", at positions 29 to 507 of the family's 1533-position model. The record is from RNAcentral.
AGCGAACGCUGGCGGCAGGCCUAACACAUGCAAGUCGAACGGAUCCUUCGGGAUUAGUGGCGGACGGGUGAGUAACCCGUGGGAACGUGCCCUUUGGUUCGGCACAACCCAGGGAAACUUGAGCUAAUACCGGAUGUGCCCUUCGGGGGAAAGAUUUAUCGCCAUUGGAGCGACCCGCGUCUGAUUAGCUAGUUGGUGAGGUAACGGCUCACCAAGGCGACGAUCAGUAGCUGGUCUGAGAGGAUGAUCAGCGACACUGGGACUGAGACACGGCCCAGACUCUUACGGGAGGCAGCAGUGGGGAAUCUUGCGCAAUGGGCGAAAGCCUGACGCAGCCAUGCCGCGUGAAUGAUGAAGGUAUUAGGAUUGUAAAAUUCUUUCAGCGGGGACGAUAAUGACGGUACCCGAAGAAGAAGCUCCGGCUAACUUCGUG